Molecule: ribosomal RNA, 447 nt
Filed under: uncultured bacterium
Lineage: Bacteria
Description: bacterial SSU rRNA
Rfam family: Bacterial small subunit ribosomal RNA
Source: RNAcentral
GUACCAGCUCCUACGGGAGGCAGCAGUGGGGAAUAUUGCACAAUGGGGGGAAACCCUGAUGCAGCGACGCCGCGUGAGCGAUGAAGUAUUUCGGUCUGUAAAGCUCUAUCAGCAGGGAAGAAGAUGACGGUACCUGACUAAGAAGCCCCGGCUAACUACGUGCCAGCAGCCGCGGUAAUACGUAGGGGGCAAGCGUUAUCCGGAUUUACUGGGUGUAAAGGGAGCGUAGACGGCGAUGCAAGCCAGAUGUGAAAGCCCGGGGCUCAACCCCGGGACUGCAUUUGGAACUGUGUGGCUGGAGUGUCGGAGAGGCAGGCGGAAUUCCUAGUGUAGCGGUGAAAUGCGUAGAUAUUAGGAGGAACACCAGUGGCGAAGGCGGCCUGCUGGACGAUGACUGACGUUGAGGCUCGAAAGCGUGGGGAGCAAACAGGAUUAGAUACCCGGGUA